This 312-nucleotide ribosomal RNA is filed under the name Triticum aestivum (bread wheat). RNAcentral's name for it is "partial small subunit ribosomal RNA". Lineage: Eukaryota; Viridiplantae; Streptophyta; Magnoliopsida; Poales; Poaceae. The record is from RNAcentral.
AUGGACACAUGUGCCACCAACCACAUCACCGGAGAGCUGGAGAAGCUAACUAUGCACGAGAAAUAUCGUGGCUAUGACCAAGUCUACAUGGCAGCAAAUGGUGCAGGCCACGAACAAAGUGUUGGGGAACGUAGCAGAAAUUCAAAAUUUUCUAUGCGUCACCAAGAUCAAUCUAUGGAGAUUCUAGAAACAAGAGAGGGAGAGGAUGAGUGCAUCUUCAUACCCUUGAAGAUCGCGAUGCAGAAGCGUUACAAGAACGCGGAUGAGGGAGUCGUACUCGCGGUGAUUCAAAUCGCGGAAGAUCCGAUCUAA